CCCGAUAUUUAGUCAAUGCUCGCAAGAGUGAACUAGCUAACUGAAAUCAUAGAAUUUUUUAAAAUUCAUGAUGUCGUAAGGGAAAAUAAUGAUAAUACCUUACUAUGAGUGUUGUCCAAAUYUGGUGCCAGAAGACUCGGUAAGACCAGAAACGCAAACGUUAAUCAUCAUAAACAGGCGUAAAGGGUUUGUAGGCAGCUUUUAUCAGAUUAUGCAUUUUAAAAUAAAGUAGUYUAAUUAAAAGCUAGAAUCAAAAAGAGGUUAUAGUGUAUAACGCCUAGAGGAGGGCUGAUAUCCAUAGAUCCUAGGCAGAAUACUAAGGGCGAAGGCCACUUUCCAUUAAUGAUUGACGCUGAGAAACGAAGGUUAGGGUAGGAAAUAGGAUUAGAUACCCCGGUACUCCUUUCUGUAAACGAUGAAUGGUAGUCAUUAGUUUUUUUCUUAGAAAAAAAAAAAUAACUAGAGACGAAGUUAACACAAUAACCAUUCCGCCUUGUGAGUACUACUGCAAAGUAGAAAACAAAAAAAUUAGUCGUCUCGAAGCAAACGGAGUGAAGCAUGUUUUUUAUUUA
RNAcentral lists this ribosomal RNA (572 nucleotides) under Pachykytospora tuberculosa. RNAcentral's name for it is "partial small subunit ribosomal RNA". It matches the Rfam family "Bacterial small subunit ribosomal RNA", at positions 356 to 952 of the family's 1533-position model. Lineage: Eukaryota; Fungi; Basidiomycota; Agaricomycetes; Polyporales; Polyporaceae. The record is from RNAcentral.